Molecule: ribosomal RNA, 301 nt
Filed under: uncultured bacterium
Lineage: Bacteria
Description: partial 16S ribosomal RNA
Rfam family: Bacterial small subunit ribosomal RNA
Source: RNAcentral
CAGCCGCCGCGGGAACACGUAGGGUGCAAGCGUUAAUCGGAAUUACUGGGCGUAAAGCGUGCGCAGGUGGUUCUAUAAGACAGAUGUGAAAUCCCCGGGCUCAACCUGGGAACUGCAUUUGUGACUGUAGAGCUGGAGUGCGGCAGAGGGGGAUGGAAUUCCGCGUGUAGCAGUGAAAUGCGUAGAUAUGCGGAGGAACACCGAUGGCGAAGGCAAUCCCCUGGGCCUGCACUGACGCUCAUGCACGAAAGCGUGGGGAGCAAACAGGAUUAGAUACCCCUGUAGUCCCUGUCUCUUAUAC